GUGACGUCAUCAUUAGUCCCUCCCUGAAAUAUCUCUUGUAUCCUGGAGGUCCCUGUCUUCUUCUGUGAUGUCACAAGUGUUGUCGUGCCUGCAACUGCCUCUCAGAUAUUCCUGCAGUACCUCUGGGGUAUACUAAUUGGCCUCUAAUUGAAAUAAACAGGGAGGAAGAAUAAAGAGGAUGAAGAUAUCAGUGAUGGGGAAAAGAAUGCUGGACUUCUGUCUUGGUAUAACCAAAAAGGAAGAAAUAUGUGAUACUUGGGAUAGCACAAAGAGACCUUAGUAGUGAUUGAGUGGGAUCUCUGAAGAGAUAGCCUUGAUUUGACACUACCACAUAUGGGAAUAAGGAGCUUGGAGCCUCUCAGAAACAUAUGGACUUCCCUGUUGUUUGGUUCCUGGUUUGCUGGGAAGGCAUCAUGCCAACCUUCCACCAUCAGUGAGAAAGUACAGCACAUUAAGAAGUUGGAGAUACUGACUAUUGAGCUCAAGAAGAAAACCUGUGAGUUGGGUAACUUCCAGGAAUACUGACCCAUGGCAUCCACAGAAUUUCAACAGAAGAUAGUCAUUACAUUCAGUCAUUUGUUGACCGUCUUGACCCCUCUGUGUUAACCCCAGUAUUCUCACAUCAGAAGCAACUGCAACGCCAGCAUCCUUAUGCACAAACUCAUUUUCUGAUGCACCUCUCAAAAGCAGAACUUGAAGGUAGGAUAGGAGUGUAAUGGGAAGCUAUUUCAUUUCCAGAAAAGAAGAAGGUGUGUUUGAAUAACAGUGGAGAUAUGGCAAGCAAUGUGUGAGCUCUCAUCCUGGAUUUUAAUAGAAAAAGAAUGGAUUUUCUGUCCUCAGAGGAACACAGAAAGCUGCUAUGGAAAUCUUCUUGUUGACUGGGCUCAUAGCUUCAGACUUGAAGUCAGGCAUACUAUGGACAUGUAGAUCCUUUUGGAAGAAGCUGCUACGUUGGAGGAACUGGGUAACAGUGAGCAAUUGUAAGAUGUUUGUCCACCACCUGAUGCCUUGCUGAGAAAAAAGUCUCCUCUUCUCAGCCUGAAAACUGGGCAAGCUGGGUAAACAGGCAUAGCUAACAAGCCAGUCCAGUUUAUACAAGGUAUAAAGGGAGAGCAUUUCAUUGACUAAGUUGAAUAUAAACACUGUCCACUAUUUUCUUAUCACAUGAAAGGAAACUUUUGUCUAUACUCGGGUCCACAAAGAUCACUUCUCACUAUCAUUGCCAUUUCUUCCCUGGUAGGACCCUUAAGAGAACUGAGAGAGUCAGAGAAAGACACAGACAACAAUAAUCUACAUUGUAGAGAUCAAGGCCAUCUCAUAAGAAACACUUCCUCGUGGCUGUGAAUUCAGCAGAGGGAAAUUGCAACCAACGCUUGAUAAUGCAGCUGAUAUCUGGUAUACAGACUCAUUGACUAACUGUUCUAUUGGAGAAAGGAAGCAUCAAAAGUUAGCAUGAGACCAAAAAAAAAAUACUAAAAUGAGUCAGAACUCUGAUACAUUUAGUAAGUGUUCCCAGUGUGGGUCACAAAUAACAUGAAGGAUAUAUGUUUGAGCUAGAGUUACUCUGUUGGAGUCCUCACAUUUCAUAUGUACUUGAAAAUCUGUCACAGCAAACUAUAUUGAUAUCAUAUGCUAGUCCGAGAGACCAUAUCCAAAAGUAUAUAAUUCCUUCUGAAAUACAGUGUUGAAAAUACUGCACAUCACACAUUUGUAUGUAAGGCUAAAAUUAAUGUUCUACCUAGAUAAAAGCAUUCUCUCAAUCCUUAUCUAAGUAACUUGUUUUUAUUUUUCCGUUUGGAAAAUGGCUGAGUAUUCUUCAGUUCCAAACAUGAACUGAAGUGACUCUUCCUCAGACUGUACACAUAGUGGACAUCUGAGUAGUAAUUGACAUUUUUAGACAGGUGGGUCUCCCCAAGGGUCUUUUAGGCAUGAAUAAGCAUGUAUAGCCAUAUUUUAGCCAAGGGAUUCAUGUAGUAGCUUAAAUAUUACAGGACCCCUCUGUUGCAAAUAAUUUUCUUUUACACAGGUGAAGGAAGGUGUAUCAAAGGCUGAGUAUCAAACGUUGUAGAUAUUACACCAUCUGUAGAUGAUAAUAUACCAAGAAGAAUCCCUUAGGAUUACACUGAUUGAUCUAGAUACUCCCACAUGAUUCUAAUACAGAACAAGAAAUCACUUGGCUUGGAAACUUAAAAUAAUAUAGUGCUGCGGAGCUAUGUGGAGUGUUAAUAGAUAAUGAGAAACCACCUAAAAAGCACAUGCAUAUGUACAAGAUGCUAUUCAAAAAUUACCCAGAGGCAGUUUGGCAACCUACAUUCAGCACAAAAUGAUUGAUUCUACACUUCAUAGAUUCUGAUCAGGUAAAUUGAAUAUUGAGAAAGCUAUAUGAGAACUCACUUGGUUAUCACAUGACUGUAAAACUAGGUAGUCUCAACAGACAUGUCAAUCAGGAAGCAUAGCCUGAACUUGCCAACAAUGGAUGAAGUGCAUUUAGCUGACGAGGUCUGACCAUGAAACUCAAAUUUCCAAAAUACCAGGUAGGUUUGAAUUUGCAGAACAAUAAAUACUUAAUGAGUUUUGGGGCAAAAUUCUAUUCUAAAGACUCCAAAAAUUAUUUAUCAACCAGCUCUUAAUCCCUAUGGAGAGAUUAAUUGUAGAAAUAAUGAAUUUAAUCUGUACCCCAGAGGUAUAAAUAAUUGGUGCAAUUUGAAGUGAUUUGAUAUGUUAAAGAAACAUGCAAAACAAAAGAGUUCAGGCUAUCCUUGAACAGAUUUGCUUCUAAAACAUGUAGCACGAGUUACUGUGGAAUGACCUACACACACACAUGCACAUAUCCUGCAAUUAAUUGAUUUGUUCUGUGCUGUGUAUGGUAUGCCAGACUAAUCCAAGGUAGGAAGUAUAUAAUCCACAAGUAUUUUAAACCAAAUAUCAAUGAAAAGAAAUCAGAAUUACUCUUGUGAAUGCCAUCCUAGAUGAGUUAAUCCAGAUCAAAAAGGAAAAAUGAGUUACAUAUUCACUUUAAUCUAAAUGUUAAUUCUCUAAACUGUGUAUCUGUAUGAUCAGUUUUGUGUAAGUGUCUAGUAUGAACCAGACCGUCCUUAUUUUGAAAAGUGCAAGUGUACUUAUGUAUUGCUGAAAGACACAGUCAGGAACAGGAAUAUCAAAUGUGAAGAGACAGGGAAAAGUGCAACAAGGAAGGGAAUGUAGUACAUACAGUUAAAUUGAGAGACAUUUGAGGCAUUGAAUGGAAAACUAAUGGAGUAGAAAAUUUUUUUUUAAAAUUUUUAUCAAGUAAUUAAACAUUUGCUAUAGUUACAAGGGCAGAAGAUAAAAUAUUGGAUGGGUUUAUCUAUGUGAAAUUCAAAUAAUAAGUAAGUCACAACAAUUUUGGAUUUCAAUUUUAGUAAACCUAUGUUACAAAUAUUGAGUGUAGUCAUUAAGGAGAGAGAUGUGAACAUCUCUGUUGGAAACAUACAUAUCUUAUAUUAUAAACAUUGCAAGUGUAAAAUAAUCUAUGUAUUUGUUUACAUUUCAAAGACAUUUCCCAAACUCUUCUUUCUUUAUUGAAUCCUCCAAGCCUUUCCGAUUCUCUUUGUUUCUAUGAUGGUGCUCCUCCAUCUACAUGCCCACUUCACUUUAGCCAUUUAACACCCUCCUUCUCUGGGUUAUGAUGUUUCCACAAAACCAAUUGCCUUCCUUUCCAGAGAUGGCAGAUGAGGCAGUUGUCUUCUCCCUAUGCUUUACUGUCUACAUAGCAGUAACCAUGUACUGGCCAAGUAUACUCUUGUUGGUAAAUUUUGUGAGACUCUGAAAGGUAAACUUAAUUGAUACUGUUGUUUUUCAUAUUGGUUUCCAAUCCCUUUAAGAUCCUUUAGGCAUUCGACUAACUCAUCUUAUGUGGCUGUCAUUUUCUUUCAAAUGUUUAGCUGUAUCACCAUCUGUCUCAGUCAGGUGAUGGCAGAGCCCCUCAGAGGACAGACAUAUUAGGGUCUAAUCUGCAAGCACAUCUUGACAUCAGGAAUAGUGCGAGGAUUUACGGUCUGUGGAUGAAAUGAUUCUUAUGUUGUGGUGGUCUCUGGAGGGCCUUUCUUCAUUCUCUGCUCUUUUUUUUACAUUUUUUAAGCCUUGGAUAUUUAUACGUUAAAAUUUUGAUCUGCGUGGCAGCACCAUCCAUUCAAUAGGGUCAUGUUUAGCUACAAGGGGCAGUCUGCAGUCGUUCUAUCUCUUUGCUGCUUUGUAUUUCAACUAACAUCAUCCCAGUAGGUGUAUGGGAGCCUUUUGGAUUAUUGAAAUCGGGUAUUCCCUGGGAAUACCCAAGUUCACCACCCAUCAUUGAUGAUUAUUGUUAUUUAUUCCACUUUUCCUCUGGAUUUCUCUCUUCUGUCUUUUCAUUGGUGCUGCUCCCCCGACUUUGUCUAUCCUUCUGUACCUGUAGCUAGGUCCCAUUUUCCCUCCUCCUUCUAAGUUUGUUGCAAGCAUCCACAAUUGGUUUUCUUUCAUGUUACCAUGCAUGUGAUGAAGGAUUUUAAUUGUGGGUAUUCUGAACUUUGUGGCUAACAUCCAAAUGUCCCUAAUUACAUCCCAUGAUAGGACCUUUUCAAUCUCUGUUAAUUCACUAUUUUCCAGUUCCAUCUCUUUGCCUACAGUGUUCUUGGUCUCCGCAUUUUUAAUACCUGAGUAGUGUUCUUUGUUUUAUUAUAGCACACUUUCUCUAUUUAUUCCUCGUGGAGAUGACACUAUAGAGGGGUGAAGAAAUUCCCUGAAACCCUGGGAAGACGAGGAACAUGCCUUUUUGGUAGAAAAAGGAGUUACUUGAGCAUCUUGGGACAAUAUGGAAUGGCCAGCAUGCCCUUGUAAGGAAUGGCAACUUUCCACAAUUCCUUGGUCAUUUUUGGAAAAUUCCAGGUCCCUUUGGACAGAUGGAGAAGGUGUGGGUCUCACCUGAGGAAUAGUUGUAGCUUUUGUUGUCUCUUUGGCAGCAGAAGAUGGCACUAGAUCCCUUUUGGCAGAAGGGGGAAGGUUGAAACUGUCUUCCUUUAGGAGAAAUUUCUCAAGACUGCAUCAGAAUAAUCAAAUCAUAAGACUUUGUUUCUAGAAACUGGGUGCCUGUGGUCUACUGUGGUAGAGGGAGAAUGUCGACUAUUUCUCCCCAGAGUGGAAAUGUAAAUAAAUCUACUUGGGUAGAUGGGGAUAGUUGUAAAGCAUGCUGAUCAGAUGCAGUAGAUCCUAAGACAUCCUUCUCAGAUGAGGAAGGUCUUAAUGUACAGUGUAUAUGUGUGGAAAUCCUGAAUGUAACGUCAUAAUGGGGGGAAGGUAUUAGAACUACUUCUGAAGAUGUGACCUCUCCUAGAGCAUCCUAGACAAAUGUGAGAGGUCUGAGAGACUCAUGAGCAGAUAAGGAUGUUUCUAGAUAUUGUUGUGUAACUGUGGAAGUUCCAAAAAAAAUUCUUUGGCUGGAGAAGUGAAAACAGACUUUUGAAUAGAAGUGUCAGGUUUACUAGGUUGCUUGAUAGGCAAAGCAGGUUCCAAGGCCCCUUCAGAAGAUAUAGUAAAAUCCAAAGCCUUUGAGGUAUUUGGCAGAUGUUCUGGGUCUGCUUGUGGGUAUAAAGUAGGACUCACAACCAUUUGUGCACAUUUGGAAGAGUGUGUAGCAUCUUCUGUAGUUGGGGAAAAUGGCUGAUCUUGAGGAGAUAAAGAAGUUCCUAUAGCCUCCUGUGAAGUUUGCUCAGGUCAUAUGCAUUCUUUUGCACAAAUGGAGUCCAAGGAAUCUCUUUCCUCAGAUAUCAAGGAUGCUACAGACACUGGUGUUUGCAUAUCAUGUUUUCCCACUCCUCAUUCACAUAUGGUUGUAUCCAUAACCUUCUCUACAGAUGGAAUAUGUCCUAGAACAUCUUUUGUACAUGUGUCACAUCCAUAAGCCAUCUCUAAAGAUGUGGCUGUGGUUAGAACUACUUUUGUAGAUGUUUCUUGUCCCACAGUCUCUUUAUGAGAUAGAGUACUACUCAGAGAAUCCUGCUCAGUUUUGGGAAAUUCUAGCAUCUCUGAUGUAUAUGUGGAAAAUUUUGGAGCCUCUCCUUUCAGGACAGAACAACCUAGAGUCCCCUGAGGGGGAAAGGGAUGUUUUAUCUUCUCUGGAAAUUGUACAGAUAUGGAGCCUGCAUGGCUCAUUGACUGUGUCUUGUGAUAAACUUGGUUGUUUUUGUGCUUAUGACAAGUCAGGGGGUCCUUUUGUGUGAUAGAGGAUAUUUGAGUAACUUCUGAUGUAUAGGGACAUAGGAACCACUGGGGGAGAUGGUGAGGGUGCAAGAUCACAAUAUUUAUGUGCAGAAGGCCCAAGAGUCACUUGGGUAGACUCAAAAUUUUCUACCACAUCUUGCAUGGGUGUGGAACUCUCAAGAACCCCUUCUGAAACUGUAAAUGGUCCUUAAUCUAAUGGUGUACAGGAAGAAAGUUUUGUCUUACUUGGGCUGGUAUGUGUGUUAUGAGAUUCAGUUUGCGGAAUUUUGACUUUAUUUUGUCCCCUUUGACCAUAGUGAUGAUUUAAGCCCAUUUUUAAUAGUGGAGGACUUUGAAGGCCCUUUUGGUUUGAUAUGGAAGUUCUGAAAACCCCUUUGUCAGCAGAAACAGGUUUCAAACUCAUUUUACCCAAAGCAGAUUGCAUAAGGCACUUUGUUGGAGAGUGGGGACAUCUUUGAGUUUCUUUGUGAGUGGACAUAGCUCUGUGCCCUGCUAAGACCAUCAGAGGGGCAGAAACCUCUGAGAUCUCUGCUCACAUUAUGACUCAAGAAAAAAAAAAAAAAAACCUAGCUCCAUCUGGGCCUCCUGUGCAUAGGUACAUAGGAGCAGUAGGGGAAGGACAUUUCUGGUUGCAGCCCUCAUGGUAAGCUGAAAGUCAGCACAAAAAGUGAGCUCAGGCCUGAGACAAGAGUUGAAUUCAACAUUUCUGCUCGAGGUGAGCUGACUGGUGGACUCAGGAUACGCAAAGGCAGAACUCCUCUGGGAAUAAGCAUUUCCAGUUUUUAGCUGGCUCUUGAAUGUAGGCACAGAGACUGCUACUUCUGCCCAGCAUUGCCCAGGUCUCUGGCCCAAGACAAAACUGCAUAGUGCUUCUGGACACAGGAAUAUAGGAGGAGUAAAGCUACUGGAGCACCAUGUUCCAGACAGUGCCAAAACUGAACAGAACUGGUCAAACAGAUCCCUGUACCCAAAUCCUGAAGUUGGGGCAACUAGACCUUCAGAGAAGCAGACACUCCUGGGAAACCAGAGGAGACUACUCUCUGCCCAAAAUCCUGACUCAAGAGGAAAACAUCUUGUGCCAUCUGUUCCCCCUCCCCCAACAGAGGGACCUAGGAGAAGUACGGGAAUUUCGCUCUGGUUCUAGCCCACAGGGACAGCUGAAAGUCAGUGGAAAAGAGCAAUUACAUGCCUAGAUCAGAAUACACUGUUCUCAUAACUGGGUACAAGAAAACAGGAAAACAAGUCUACAGCAGUAUGGACACAUGAGCCUACAAGACAGUCAAGCCACUGUCAGAAAGAACAAGCCAGUCUAACUCCAGAGACAACCUGAUGGCUAGAGGCAAGCACAGAAUCACAAGCAACAGAAAUCAAGACUACUUGGAGUCAUCAGAACCCCAUUCUCCCAACAAAACACACACUGGAUAUCUAAACACACCAGAAAAGGAAGAUCUAGUUUUAAAUUCACAUUUUAUCAUGACAAAGGAGGAUGUUAGAAAGGUCAUAAAUAACUCCCUUAAGAAAAUACAGGACAACAGAAAGUACAGAAGUAAACAAGUAGAAUCCCAUAAAGAGAGACACAAAACUACCUUAAAGAACUACGGGAAGAACAGCAAAACAUGAAAAGGAAAUGAACAAAACCACCCAGGAAUUAAAAAUGGAAAUAGAAAUAACUAAGGAAGCACAAAGGAAGACAACCCUGGAAAUGAAAAACCUAGAAAAGAGACCAGGAGUCAUAGAUGUGAGAAUCACCAACAGGAUAAAAGAUAUAGAAGACAUAAUCUAAGGAGCAGAAGUUUGCAUAGAAAUCAUUGACACAACUGUCAAAUAUAAGGUAAAACUGAAAAGCACCUAGCCCAAAACAUACAGGAAAUCCAGGACACAAUGAGAAGAUCAAACCUAAGCUUAACAGAUAUAGAAGAGGGUGAAGACUGCCAAAUCUAGGGACAGUAAUAUCUUCAACAAAAGUAUAGAAUAAAACUUCCAUAAUCUAAAGAAAGAGAUCCCCAUAAACAUAUUCAAAGCCUACAGAACUCCAAAUAGAUUGGACCAGAAAAGGAAAUCCUCCCAUCACAUAAUAAUCAAAACACCAAAUGCGAAAAACAAAUAAAAAUAUUAAAAGCAGUAAGGGAAAAGGUCAAGUAACAUAUAAAGGCAAACGUAUCAGAAUUACACCAGAAUUCUCAAAAGAGACUAUGAAAGCCAAAAGAUCCUGGACAGAUGUCAUACAGACAUUAAGGUAACAAAAAUGCCAGCCCACACUACUGUAUCCAGCAAAACUCUCUACUAACGUUGAUGGAGAAACCAAGAUAUUCCAUGAUUAAACCAAAUUUACACAAUAUCUUUCUACAUAUCCAGUCAUACAAAGGACAUUAACUGGAAAACCCCAACAUAAGGAGGCAAGUAAAAUCAUAGAUAAAGCAAGAAAUUAAUCUUUUCACAACAAAACAAAGAGAAGAGAAGCACACAAACAUAAACUAACCUCCAGUUAUGAAAAUAAGACAAAGUUAUCAUCACUAUUCCUUAAGAUCUCUCAAUAUCAAUGGACUAAAUUCCCCACUAAAAAAACACAGACUGACACUCUGGAUAUGUAAUGAGGACCCCACGUUUUGCACUACAGGAAACUCAUUUCAGAAACAAAGAUAGACACUACCACAGACUAAAAGGCUUGUUAAAAACUUUUCAAGCAAAGCUGAAGAAGCAAGUGGGAGUAGCCAUUCUAAUAUCAUAUAAAAUCCACUUUCAUCCAAAAGUCAUCACAAAUCAUAAGGAAGGACACUUCAUAAUCAUCAAAGGAAAAAUCCACCAAAAUGAACUUGAAAUUAUAAAUAUCUAUGCUCCAAAUACAGGGGUACCUACAUACAAAAAAGUAACCUUACUAAAGCUCAAAGAAAAUAUUGCACCUCAAACAAUAAUAGCAGUAGAUUUCAACUCCCUAUUCUCAUCACUAGACAGAUAACAGAAACAGAAAUUAAAAAGAGUCAUAGACAGACUAACAGAAGAUAUAAACCAAAUGGACUUAACAGAUAUUUAGAGAACAUUCUAUCCUAAAACAAAAGGAUAUACCUCCUUCUCACCAUCUCUUGGCACAUUCUCCAACAUUGAUCAUACAAUCAGUCAAAAAGCAGUCCACAAAUGACACAGAAAGAUAGAAAUAAUCCAAGGCAUCUUUCACACCACCAUGGGCUAAGGCUGUUCUUCAAUAACAAUUAGGAAAGAACACCCACAUAUACAUGGAAGUUGAACAAUGCUCUACUCAAUGAUAACUUGGUCAAGGAAAAAAUUAAAGAGUUCUUAGAAUUCAAUGAAAAUGAAGGUACAACAUACCCAAAACUCUUGGAACACAAUGAAAGCUGUGCUAAGACAAAAACUCAUAGCUCUGAGUGCAUGCAGAAAGAAAUAGGAGAGAGCAUACAUCAGCAGCUUGAGAGCAAACCUAAAUCAUAUAGAACAAAAAGAAGCAAAUAACUGCAGGACUAGUAGUAGGCAGGAAAUAAUCAAACUCAGAGCUGAAUUCUACCAAGUAGAAAAAAGGGACUAUACAAAGAAUCAACACAACCAAUACCUGGUUCUGUGAGAAAAUCAACAAGAUACAUUAACCCAUAGCCAGACUCACCAGUGGAUACAGAGAGUGUGUAAAAUUAACAAAAUCAAAUAUUAAAAAGUAAGACAAGGGGGUUGGGGAUUUAGCUCAGUGGUAGAACGCUUGCCUAGGAUGCGCAAGGCCCUGGGUUCGUUCCCCAGCUUCGGAAAAAAAGGAAAAAAAAAGGGAGACAAAACAGCAGAAUCAGAGGAAAUUAAAAGAAAUCAUUGUAUAACAAAAACCUAUGUUCAACAAAACUUGAAGAUCUGGAGAAAGCGGACAAUUUUCUAGACAAAUACAAGAGACAAAAACUAAAUCAGGAAAUGUUAAACCAUUUAAACAACCCAUAACUCCCAAAGUUAUACAAGCAAUCAUCAAAACUCUCCCAACCAAAAAGAGUCCAGGAACAGAUGGGUUUAGUGCAUAUAUCCAUCCAAAUUCAUUGAAAAUUUCAAAACAAUACUGUCCAAACCAUUCCAUAAAAUUGAAACAGAUGGAGUACUACCAAGUUGCUUUAAUGAAGCCACAAUUACUCUUAUAACUAAAACACAGAAAGAGCCAACAAAGAAAGAAAAUUUCAGACCAAUAUCCCUUAUCAAUAUCGGCACAAAAAUACUCAAUGAAAUUCUUGCAAACCUAGUCCUACAACACAUUAAACAAUCAUCCAUUAUGAUUAAGUAGGAAUCAUCCCAGUCUUGCAGGGAUGCUUUAAUGUAUAGAAAACCAACAACGUAAUCCACUAUAUUAACAAACUCAAAGAUGAAAACCACAUGAUCCUUUCAUUAGAUGCUGGGAAAAUUUUGACAAAAUUCAACAUCACUUCAUGAUAAAAGUCCUGGAAAGUAGAGGAAUUUAAGGCCCACACCUAAACAUAUACAGCAAAUACGUAGCUAACAUUAAACUAAGUGGAAAGAAACUUAAAGCAAUCACACUGUAAUCAGGGAAUGGACAAGGCUACCCACUCUCACAAAACUUAUUCAAUAUAGUUCUAUACAUCUUAGCCACAGCAAUCAGACACUGAAGGAAGUCAAAGGGAUAUAGUUUGGAAAGGAAGAAGUCAAAAUAACACUGUAUGUAGAUGAUAUGAUAGUAUACUUAGUGACACCAAAGGUUUCACAAAAGAAGUACUAAGCUUGAUAUACAAUUUCAGCAAAGUGCUGGGUAUAAAAAUAACUGUGCACAAAAACUAAACAGGUGGAGAAAUAAACUAGGGAUAUGACACCCUUCACAAUAGCCCCAAAUAAUAUAAAAUAUCUCGGGGUGACUUUAUCCAAGCAAGUAAAAAAUAUGAGCAUAUGAGUAGAACCUCAAGUCUCUGAAGAAACUGAAGGAGAUUUCAGAAGAUGGAAAGAUCUCCUAUUUCCAUGGACUGCCAGGAUUAAUAUAGUAGAAACGGCCAUUGCACCAAGAGCAACCUACAGAUUCAUUCCAAUCCCCAUCAAAAUUCAAAUCCAAUUCUUCAUAGAGUUAGACAGAACAAUUCAUGAAUUCAUUUUGAAUAACAAAAAACACAUAAUAGCUAAAACUGUCCCCAACAAUAAAAGGACUUCCCUAGGAAUCACAAUUCCUGUACUUAAGAAGUAUUACAGAGCAACGGUGAUAAAAAAACUGUAUGAUAUUGAGACAGAAUCAGCAAAUAAACCAGUGGAAUAGAACUGAAGACCCAGAAAUGAACCCAUACACCCUUGGUCACUUAAUUUUUGAGAAAGGAGACAAAACCAUACAAUGGGAAAAAAAGAGCAUUUUCAGCAAAUGGUGCUGGUUCAACUGGAGGUCAGCAUAUAGAAGAAGGCAAAUUGAUCCAUUCUUACUGCCCUGUAGAAAGCUGAAGUACAACUGGAUCAAGGACCUCCACAUCAAACCAGAUAAACGCAUACUAACAUAAGAAAAAGUGGGAAAGCAUCUAGAACACAUGGCCAGUGGAGAAAAUUUCCUUAACAAAACAGGAAUGGCUCAUGCUCUAAGAUCAAGAAUCAACAAAUGCGAACUCACAAAACUCCAGAGCUUCUGUACGGCAGAGGACACUGUUGUUAGGACAAAAUGGCAACCAACAGUUUGGGAAAAGAUCUUUACCAAUCCUAAAACAGAUAGAGGGCCAAUACCCAAAAUAUACAAAGAAAUCAUGAAGUUAGACUACAGGGAGACAAAUAACCAUAUUGAAAAAUAGGGUUCAGAGCCAAACAAAGAAUUCACAAUCGAAUGGCAGUGAAACACUUAAAGAACUGUUCAACAUCUUUAGUCAUAAGGGAAAUGCAAAUCAAAACAACCUUGAGAUUUCACCUCACACCAGUCAGAAAGGCUAAGAUCAAAAACUCAUGUGACAGCAAAAAUCAGGCCACAUGCUGGUGAGGAUGUGGAGAAAGAGGAACACCCCUCCAUUGUUGGUUGGAUUGCAGACUGGUACAACCAUUCUGAAAAUCAGUCUUGAGGUUCCUCAGAAAAUUCGACAUUGAGUUAUCUGAAGUCCCAGCUACUCCUCGCUUGGGCAUAUACCCAAAAGAUGCCCCAACAUAUAACAAAGACACGUGCUCCACUAUGUUCAUAGCAGCCUCAUUUAUUAUAGCCAGAAGGUGGAAAGAGCCUAGAAGCUUUUCAACAGAGGAAUGGAUACAGGAAAUAUGGCAUAUCUACACAAUUUAGUGUCAUUAAGAGAUACUAAGUUAAUAACGAUGGAGAAAAGAAAACUUUACUGGGUCUUUAUAUGACAUGGAUCAUAUCUAUAAGACACAAAAUACCUUAUUCAUCAGAAAUAAAGUAAUGGAACUAAAUAUGCUAUAUAUUUGAAUAAAUGCUUAAAAUAAUGGCACAGUAAUUAGCAAAAAUUACAUGAAAAAUACUAAAUACUAAACUCACAAAUCGUUGGUGAAGUACAAAUACAAAUGACAGUGAAAUUAUUUGUGAUUCAAUAGUACCACCGAAGGAAUAUGUCGUUGAUGGAAUCUGUCUAUUCCAGUUAUAACUCCAUAAAUGUCUUUACCUUCUCACUGUUCACAAUAUCCAUGUUACAAAAUUGGAAAAAUAAAUUACAUAGGCACUAGACCUUUAUUUAAUCAUCAAAUAGCAAAAUUUUAUCAUUGGCCUGGAUAUUGAUGAAACUAGACUUCAUUUUGCAAGUUGAAAGUUCAGAAGUAUGAAGACAAUUAUCUAAAUCUUAUGAAAGUGGGCAACUGCUGUUUGUUUGAAUUUGAAGCCUCUUCUAUAGAAGGAAAGUCAGAUGUCAUGUUAUAAACAUUGACAGUUUUCACAUGGCUCACAUGGUCACAGAGAGGAUCCUACUACUCCUGUUUUGCUAAAUGGCCAUGUUGUCAAACUGCGUUCCAAUUCUCAUUGUUUUUGUCCAUACAUUACUGCUUUUAUGGCCUGUGGUCAGAGAAAUGUAUAGGUGUACUGGGCAGCAAUUACUGUAGUUCUGUGUAACUGGUAUAAGUGCUAAGACCGUGAGAAGAAGAAAGCUGAGCAUAAGGCUGGGGAAACAUUGCAGAAAAGGAGAAGACAGAACUUGAGGAGAGAGGAUGUAAUCAUGACAUCUAGUCAUGACACAGUUAUUGGAACUAUGGACUCACUGCAUCUACAGUAGAAUGCACAAGUCUUGUACACAAUUAAGACAAUGAAUUAGGGAAGAUCCCAGCAGGCAGUACUCAGUGAACCAAUGGAUUAUAAAGAAAAUAAAACAGGAAAAUAUAAAGAACAUGAAGCUAGAAAGGGAAUUUAUCCAGAGAGAGAAGAACCAAGUUAAUGAUUGGUGUGAUCA
This is a non-coding RNA of Rattus norvegicus (Norway rat), 13565 nucleotides long. The record is from RefSeq and is a predicted model, not a curated record. NCBI's taxonomy places the organism in Eukaryota, Metazoa, Chordata, Mammalia, Rodentia, Muridae.